AGUGCCAGCAACUGGGCACUGUCCUCAUGGAAACCAAGCACCUCAAACCCAGUUGGCCCCAGUGCCAGGAACCGAGCACUAUUGUCAUGUAGACCAAGCACCUCGAACCCAGCCGGCCCCAGCGUUAGGAACCGGGUACUGUCGUCAUCAGCAUCAGGGUCAACCUCUGGACCCUGGCUUCCUCAGCAUUAACAGGAAAGGUUAGAAGCCCUGUUAGGUCUCUUCCAACUUUGUCUAUAACUCUGAAAAAGCAACGUGGAGUUUCUCUGGCACACUCUUUGAGGAAAUAGAAUUCGCCAAACCAAUGCAAAUGGAGAAAUAUAUUUCACCUGAGUAGGGAAGAAAAACCUUGUAAAGGCUUCCAAGAACCUCCAGAAACCUACUGGAUGUGCUUACCACUAAUCUCUUUUAAAGCAAUUCCCUGACAACACUCUGUUAAUCUCUCUUGAGCUCCUUAGUACCCCCUGAAAGUAGCAGGACAGCCUUACUUUCCAAAUCUUCACCUUUGCAAGAGUCUAGUCUGUGAGUCCAGGCUCACCUGAAGUCUGAGAUUUUGGGAGCUUUGGAGAAUUCUGGAUAAAAUCCCUUACUGGACUUAGCAGGAAUCUCCGAUCUGUGGAGAAGUCUCCUCGGUUUUCAGAGACUGAGCAUCUGUUCCUAGCUCCCUCCGGGCUCUGAUGCCAUUAAUGACUGCAGGAAGCUGUUCCAGGCCUCAAUACAGAAAGAACCCUUAGACCCUCAGAGCUGGAGUUUUAUCUCCUAGGGUUAUGGUGAAUACCUAGGGCAGGACCGGGCACUUAGAAAGCUCUCAUCCAAUGUCCCCUAACUCUUGGAGACAAUAAUCAAGACUUAGAGGAACUGACUGGGGGAAACGUCAACACUUUCUUGGUUCUCUCAGAGGCCGGUGGAGACGGUGCUCCAUUCUGCCUGGAUCAUUUCCCAGGGCAGACUUUCUGAGCUGAACUGGGUUCUCGGUGAUUCCAACUCACUCCCCACAGACUUACCCGGCACUGAGUGCAGGCCUGGAGGGAGACACUUCACUUAGAUCCUUUCACCGGAUGGCAUGAUAAUGCUGUGGGAAGGUACAGAUGAGGAAACCAAGGCUCAUGGAAGUUGCGUGAAUUGCCCCAGGUCACAAGGCUUUUGACCUCCAGUCCAGCGUCCUUCCUGCGUUUCCCCAUUGGCAAGGUUUGCCAACAGGGUGGGCCCAGCUGCUCCCAGCACAGCUGGCCCUGGAGAGCACUUUGCAGGGACAGAGUCAGCCACGUGAGAAAGGACUUGGCAUACUGUAGGAUUUAAGGGUUCUAAUCAGGGCUUCCCAGCAAAUUCUGUUGGGCCAAUGUGGACCUCUCAAGUAUGAGGUUGGACCAUAUAAAACUGCAAUUCUGUAGAUCAAAAA
Molecule: small RNA, 1399 nt
Filed under: Homo sapiens (human)
Lineage: Eukaryota; Metazoa; Chordata; Mammalia; Primates; Hominidae
Description: long intergenic non-protein coding RNA 208 (ENSG00000292287.1)
Source: RNAcentral